CGCGUAGGCGGCUUAGUUAGUCAGGCGUGAAAUUCCUGGGCUCAACCUGGGGACUGCGCUUGAUACGGCUAGGCUAGAGGAUGGAAGAGGGUCGCGGAAUUCCCAGUGUAGAGGUGAAAUUCGUAGAUAUUGGGAAGAACACCGGUGGCGAAGGCGGCGACCUGGUCCAUUACUGACGCUGAGGCGCGACAGCGUGGGAGCAAACA
Molecule: ribosomal RNA, 206 nt
Filed under: uncultured bacterium
Lineage: Bacteria
Description: partial 16S ribosomal RNA
Rfam family: Bacterial small subunit ribosomal RNA
Source: RNAcentral